GAUGAACGCUGACAGAAUGCUUAACACAUGCAAGUCAACUUGAAUUUGGGUUUUUAACUUAGAUUUGGGUGGCGGACGGGUGAGUAACGCGUAAAGAACUUGCCUCACAGCUAGGGACAACAUUUAGAAAUGAAUGCUAAUACCUGAUAUUAUGAUUUUAAGGCAUCUUAGAAUUAUGAAAGCUAUAAGCACUGUGAGAGAGCUUUGCGUCCCAUUAGCUAGUUGGAGAGGUAACAGCUCACCAAGGCGAUGAUGGGUAGCCGGCCUGAGAGGGUGAACGGCCACAAGGGGACUGAGACACGGCCCUUACUCCUACGGGAGGCAGCAGUGGGGAAUAUUGGACAAUGGACCAAGAGUCUGAUCCAGCAAUUCUGUGUGCACGAUGAAGUUUUUCGGAAUGUAAAGUGCUUUCAGUUGGGAAGAAAUAAAUGACGGUACCAACAGAAGAAGUGACGGCUAAAUACGUGCCAGCAGCCGCGGUAAUACGUAUGUCACGAGCGUUAUCCGGAUUUAUUGGGCGUAAAGCGCGUCUAGGUGGUUAUGUAAGUCUGAUGUGAAAAUGCAGGGCUCAACUCUGUAUUGCGUUGGAAACUGUAUAACUAGAGUACUGGAGAGGUAAGCGGAACUACAAGUGUAGAGGUGAAAUUCGUAGAUAUUUGUAGGAAUGCCGAUGGGGAAGCCAGCUUACUGGACAGAUACUGACGCUAAAGCGCGAAAGCGUGGGUAGCAAACAGG
This 735-nucleotide ribosomal RNA is filed under the name uncultured Fusobacterium sp. RNAcentral describes it as "bacterial SSU rRNA". It matches the Rfam family "Bacterial small subunit ribosomal RNA", at positions 28 to 776 of the family's 1533-position model. Lineage: Bacteria; Fusobacteriati; Fusobacteriota; Fusobacteriia; Fusobacteriales; Fusobacteriaceae. The record is from RNAcentral.